AACGUCAAGCUGGCCCUGGACAUCGAGAUCGCCACCUACAGGAAGCUGCUGGAGGGCGAGGAGAACCGGAUCACCAUUCCCGUGCAGACCUUCUCCAACCUGCAGAUUCGAGGUCAGUAUAGCAGGGCCUCGUGGGAAGGGCACUGGAGUCCUGCCCCCUCCUCCAGGGCCUGUAGGUUGCUCCGGACUGGGACUGAGGAUCAGGGCAAAGGGAUCCAGCUCUCCCUCUCCCUGGGGGCCUUCGUGACACCGCAGCGCUCCUAGCCAGAGCCUAUCAUACCAGGGUACUUCUAGGCGGGGCUUGCAGCUGCUCCUGUCCUGCUAGGCCCUGGGUCCCUCUUCCCCUCCCUGCACCCCAUUCCACAGCAGAACUGAGUGAGAUCUUGACAUCUGCCCUGUCUGCAGAUCCCUGAGCAAGCACUGCCCUUCUGAGUGUUUUCUGUUUUUGUUUUUUUAACUGCUUGUCACUACAGGGGGCAAAAGCACCAAAGACGGGGAAAAUCACAAGGUCACAAGACAUCUCAAAAGCCUCACAAUACGAGUUAUACCAAUACAGGCUCACCAGAUUGUAAAUGGAGCGCCGCCGGCUUGCGGUUAGCUGCCUGCCUCUCAGACACGGCGCUUUGCCCAGCUUGACAGGGAAAACCAGCCUGGACACCAAGUCUGUGUCAGAAGGCCACCUCAAGAGGAACAUCGUGGUGAAGACAGUGGAGAUGCGGGAUGGAGAGGGUACCCACCCAGAGACAUCUGGUAUCAUUUAACAAACACAUUGAAGGACAACUGGUCUUCAGAGCUGAAGAGAUAUCCUAGGGGGAGAAGUUAGGACAACAGUGAAAUAAGUAGCAGCAGCAACGACAGAGGUGAAUGGUGACAAAGACUGCCGUGAUGAGCAGGUAGCCUAUCAGGGUGAGCUCCACAGCAGAGCGAGUCUCAGGAUCCGAGAACGAGGCUGGGUAGCGCCCACGAGAUGUCACACCCAGCCGGAAACCAGCAACUCGCACACCCUGCCUCCAGCAAUAGUAGAUGCCCCGGUCAUCCAGCUGGGUGAAGCGGAUGUGGAGCUGGUUGCCGUGGUCAAUGAACACCCUCAUGGACCUGUUGACACCCUUCAGGUACUGUGUGCGGUAGAGGUGCUGGCGGUCUUUGUCCCAGGCCACUGCAUGCUCUGGCCGGGCCCCAGGACAGGAGAUGAUGAGGCCAUGGCCCAGUCUCUGCUGGUGGAACUGAAUGGGCACCUGGGGCACCCAGGGCCGGCUGCCCACUUUGGACACAUAGUUAACGAUGGCCAGCACGCCCUCCCGGAUGGUCUUCGUCUUCUCACAGGGUACUAAGCAGCUCCGAACCAGCACCUCAGGCGUGUGGUCCCUGGCCUUGGUCCACAGCUUCCUUGGCACAGCCCUUGAGCCACAAGACACCACAUCGGGCACCGCCUUGAGGUAGCGUGGGGAGAGGUCUGGGCUCUGCAGGUAGCAGAGGCCAAUGCGCCACUGCUCCCCACGUACCCCGCAGCGGUCACAGGGGGUCCAUUCCCAGAAGGUGGUGAAGACAUGGAGGUGCCCAUAGUAUUCAUCUGCGAAGGGCUCCUGGCCCUCGUCCUGGAAAGUGGCCACCAUUCCCUCACUGUUCUGGAUGUCCACAUCGUAGGCGUAAAAGUAGUCCCCCUUGCGGGUGCCGCAGAAGUACAGGCCUGAGUCCUCAGGCUGAGCCCUGAAAACCAACAGGCUGAACAUGCGGAUGCUGAAGCGGGUCAGCAUGUCGCUGCCCACACGUACCUGGGCUGCCUCUGUCAGCACCCGCCCAUCAAAGUCCGUCAGCACUUUGGUGUGGCUGCUACCUAGGUGCUUUUGGUAGAACCAGACUACAGCUGUCAUCUUUUCGGGUUUGCAGUGACAGGGAAGCUCAAAGCUCAUGUCGGCCAGGUAGGCCGCAUUUUCAAACAUCAGGAAAGCAGGGCAGGGGGUCUUCUGAAAAAUGUUUUCUUUCUCCACAAUUUCGAAGGCCUGGAGACUCCCCCAUGCCCACAGGAGCACAGUGGUGGGGGCCAGGUGCAUGCCUGAAGGAGGCAGGGGUCAGAGGAGCAGGGCAAAACCAAGGCAUUAAAGGCUCAUGGGGCUCCUAGAAAGCACUGCUGAGCGGAGGCCUCUGGAUGAGGAAAGGAUUAUGCAGCUAGGAAAAGCAGCAACAAUCUGCAGAGGAAGCCGCCAAGUGCAAGGCAAUGUAUUCCCGGUGGAUGCCCUUCUAACAUUCCAGACCUGAUCUCGAGGGGAAAGCCAUUCUAGAACCUGGCCUUCACUCCCCUUUCUAGAACACUGGCACUCACCCAAGAAUGGGUCAAAGGAAACCGGAAUGAGAAGGGCGGGCCGAGGUGCUCGGGCAGGGAGAUCUCUGCCUCAGUGCUCCAGGCCCUGUCCUGCCGGCCUGGUGGAAAAGUCUUUCAUCAACCUGGGGGAUGAAGGAAACCCACCCUCCUGUAUAUCUGGCCAUUUGGGAGGCUGGCUGGACCUGAGCUGAUGGCUUGGGGCUUUCCCAGGCCCAACCUGCACAAGAACUGAGUCUCCAGGGGAAAAUUCAACACCUCAAAUGAGGUAGUAUUUGAUCAUUUGUUGAUUACACGUCCAUUCAUUGGUUUGGGGCU
This 2635-nucleotide small RNA is filed under the name Pongo abelii (Sumatran orangutan). Its description in RNAcentral is "retained intron". The record is from RNAcentral. Lineage: Eukaryota; Metazoa; Chordata; Mammalia; Primates; Hominidae.